GUGAUUAAAGUGACGCAACAAGGGGGCGGGACCAGCCGGUGGAAGGGAUGCACUUCAUUGGGUGAAUGAGCUCAACUAAUCGCUGCCUCCCUGCGACUGGAGAGGAGGCCGUGACCCUUCAGCCGCAUGCAGGGACAGAGUUAUGUGUAUGCUGUAAAUAAUGCUGAUGCUUAAAAAUGGACCACUCAAAACUAUUGUGUGAUGUAAUUGAAAUAGUGAUUAAAUAUCGCAUUAGAGUAAUGACUUCCUCUCUGAACACACCUGACUGAGCACCAGGUAUCCAUCAGACAAGUAAGAAGGUUCGUCUAAUAAUGAAAUAAUAAUAGUCUCCCACAUUUGAACUCCAGAUUGUUUUUUUCCCACCUCCUGAUUCAAGACGUCACGGCAACAGAGGAAAGCAGGUAAGGUUGCCCGAGAACAUGCCGGGCUAAUAAUAAUAAUAAAGCCUGUAAUGAUCACACUCUGUUUGCAGUGAGCCGGAGCUCUGGACACACGGCACGCCGAGCGGAGGCUUACCGGACUCCUCUACAGGGGAGCGCCGCGAGGCAGCGAGGGACGAGACAUGGAAGAGAGAGCUGGAUGAUAUUUCAAGAUUGAAAUCUCGUCAAGCUUCUCCAAAGGACUAUGGGGGAUAUCCUGAUGCUCUUUUCCCGUUAACGCCUCCUCGGAGAGACUGCUAACGAAACUAUAGUCGUCAUAACUGGGACUACAGAUGCAAAUGAGCUGAAGCUACAAUCUGGUACAGAGCAUCAACUGCACACGGUCCCUUUAGAAGAAGAAGAAGAACGUUAUUCAUCAAUGUUUUGAUGAAACACUGUAAAAUAAAAGAUAACAAUCUACAAACUAAUCUAACGUGACCAUAGAAGAAUCGAAGAAGAAGAAUCGAAGAAGAAGAAGAAGAACCUCCAUCGUUCUGCUCGGAAGACGUAGAGUGAGUACAUGUGACGCGAGAGGGAACUAAACACACACAACUUGUCAGAAUCGGCCUGUAAAUCUACUGUAUCUUCUGUGUGUGUGUGUGUGUGUGUGUCAGAAACACACAAAGGGCAAAGGCCAAAACUGCCCCCAAGAAAUAUAAUGUUUCCCCUGAUGUCACUAGAGGGGCAACACCCCAUGAUGUCCUCUAAUAAUUAGGAUAAUUUAAUUGCGUUUUGUAUUGUUGUGUGUGUCCUGUAUUAAAAUAUAAUUUUUGAAUAAAGAAAAUAAAAAAAUA
Long non-coding RNA from Pseudoliparis swirei, 1213 nucleotides. RefSeq lists it as uncharacterized. The transcript is spliced from 3 exons. NCBI's taxonomy places the organism in Eukaryota, Metazoa, Chordata, Actinopteri, Perciformes, Liparidae. The record is from RefSeq and is a predicted model, not a curated record.